Molecule: ribosomal RNA, 468 nt
Filed under: uncultured bacterium
Lineage: Bacteria
Description: partial 16S ribosomal RNA
Rfam family: Bacterial small subunit ribosomal RNA
Source: RNAcentral
GACGAACGCUGGCGGCGUGCUUAACACAUGCAAGUCGAACGGAAAGGCCCUGCUUUUGUGGGGUGCUCGAGUGGCGAACGGGUGAGUAACACGUGAGUAACCUGCCCUUGACUUUGUGAUAACUUCAGGAAACUGGGGCUAAUACCGGAUAGGAGCUCCUGCUGCAUGGUGGGGGUUGGAAAGUUUCGGCGGUUGGGGAUGGACUCGCGGCUUAUCAGCUUGUUGGUGGGGUAGUGGCUUACCAAGGCUUUGACGGGUAGCCGGCCUGAGAGGGUGACCGGCCACAUUGGGACUGAGAUACGGCCCAGACUCCUACGGGAGGCAGCAGUGGGGAAUAUUGCACAGUGGGCGGAAGCCUGAUGCAGCAACGCCGCGUGCGGGAUGACGGCCUUCGGGUUGUAAACCGCUUUCGCCUGUGACGAAGCGUGAGUGACGGUAAUGGGUAAAGAAGCACCGGCUAACUACGUG